This 313-nucleotide long non-coding RNA is filed under the name Vigna radiata. RNAcentral's name for it is "long non-coding RNA (VRAD_LNC006369)". The record is from RNAcentral. Lineage: Eukaryota; Viridiplantae; Streptophyta; Magnoliopsida; Fabales; Fabaceae.
GUCGCGGGCAUAGCCGAGGAGGUGGUGGUCGUGGUUGUGGAAGAGGUCGCGGAAGACAAUCACUAAAUAAUGCGCUUGUAAAGUGUUUUCGAUGUCACAAACUAGGACACUUCCAAUACGAGUGCCCACUAGUGGAAAAACAAGCACAUUAUGCAAUGUACGAGGAAUCGUCAAGGGUAGAAGAUGAAAUACUACUGGUGGCGGAUUAUUCAAGAUGGGAUAUCGUUGUUAGGUACCCACUCCAUUAAAUCUCAAGAAAACGUUGCAAUUGAUGCUACGUUGAAGGAUCUGAAGGUAAAAAAUUAUCUUUUCU